RNAcentral lists this ribosomal RNA (258 nucleotides) under uncultured Glomus. RNAcentral's name for it is "partial 18S ribosomal RNA". It matches the Rfam family "Eukaryotic small subunit ribosomal RNA", at positions 624 to 886 of the family's 1831-position model. Lineage: Eukaryota; Fungi; Glomeromycota; Glomeromycetes; Glomerales; Glomeraceae. The record is from RNAcentral.
AAGCUCGUAGUUGAAUUUCGGGGUUAGUAGGUUGGUCAUGCCUCCGGUAUGUACUGAUCUCACUGAUUCCUCCUUCCUUAUGAACCGUAAUGCCAUUAAUUUGGUGUUGCGGGGAAUUUGGACUGUUACUUUGAAAAAAUUAGAGUGUUUAAAGCAGGCUAACGCUUGAAUACAUUAGCAUGGAAUAAUGAAAUAGGACGUUCGAUCUUAUUUUGUUGGUUUCUAGGAUUGACGUAAUGAUUAAUAGGGAUAGUUGGG